ACUUGUUCUUUAAAUAAGGACUAGUAUGAAUGGCACCACGAGGGUUAUACUGUCUCCUUUUUCUAAUCAGUGAAACUAAUCUUCCCGUGAAGAAGCGGGAAUUAAUAUAUAAGACGAGAAGACCCUAUGGAGCUUUAAAUAUAUAACAAGUGCUUAUUUUUUAUUUUCAUCCAGAUGACUAACAAUUAUUUUAGCAUUUUGACCUAUAAAUUUUAGGUUGGGGUGACCAUGGAGCAAAAAUUAACCUCCAUAUUGAAAAAACCUCAUUUUUAAGCAAAAAGUUACCACUUUAGGCAUCAACAUACUGACAUUAAUUGACCCAAUAAUUUGAUCAAUGAACCAAGUUACCCUAGGGAUAACAGCGCAAUCUACUUCAAGAGCUCUUAUCGACAAGUAG
This 397-nucleotide ribosomal RNA is filed under the name Crossodactylus caramaschii. RNAcentral describes it as "partial 16S ribosomal RNA". It matches the Rfam family "Bacterial large subunit ribosomal RNA", at positions 1967 to 2515 of the family's 2925-position model. Lineage: Eukaryota; Metazoa; Chordata; Amphibia; Anura; Hylodidae. The record is from RNAcentral.